AUCUCACUGGAGAUUCCUGAGUGCCUGAGGCCUUCCAAGGGGAAGGAGGUGGAAGUGCUCCUGGCUGCAGAGAAGCAUGCUGAAGUUGGUGGUGUGGUCAGGUGCAGCAGUGGCAGAGCUUAGCAGACAUGUUCACCACAGCUGGAAGCACUGCAGUGAGUACCAAAGGAAUUAUGCCCUAAGUGGAGUCUGAGGCAGAAAUGCCACAGUGCUCUUCUCCAAAGGUUGUGUAUCCCUGUGCUGGGAUGGAUCCCUGUGCCUGCUGACCUCCUCUGCCUUACAGCUAGGCAUGGUGGGAGGCAAAUGGAAAAACCUCACAAACUUCUUGAAUUGUGAAGUCAGAACAGAGGCCGUAUUUGUUAAAAUGAUUGUCAUGUCUUCAUUUUCCUUAUGUUCCUGGCACGUGAAUACAGGGUUUGGAACUGCCUGCCCUCCACUUGUCUUCAACAUGGAAGAACAUUCUAGCUCUGGUGGUGCUUUGUUCCACGUACAUCCCUUUGCCCAUAGAAGCACAGUGUCUGCUGAGCAGCUGCUUUGUGUGGGAAACUGAUCUCUAAGGCAGGACAGUUGUGCAUCUUAUCUUACCUUCCUAGCACUGGUGUGCAUGAAAUAAGUCUGAAGUCAUUUAACAAUCAUAGUGACUGACUCAAUUUUACAUGUUUUCCUAUUGUUUAAAAAGACUUCUCUGCUAAUUUUGGUUUUUACUGAAGGAACACUUUUAAGUAGUCUUUAUCACAGAUAUACACCUAAGCCUGCCCCAUGCAGGUCUUUCAGAAUGCAGUCUUUUCACUUAUUUCUCCAAAGAAAGCAAGGCAGGACAAAACGUGAAGCAUGUGUAAGUGAAUUGAUGGUGUACAGCCCGGUGGAAAAGGGACAUCCUUUAAGAUAAGGAAAAAACCUCUUGAACAAAUCUAUGUCUUGAUGGAUUCAGAAGUUGCCUGCUUGCUUGCUUGUUAAUGUGGGUCUAUUGUAACUGCUAGCUCAGCUGCCUGUUUGGCUUUGUGAAGAGCCUUCCAUACUGUAGUUUUCAAAUACAGAAC
Long non-coding RNA from Gallus gallus (chicken), 1040 nucleotides. The record is from Ensembl. NCBI's taxonomy places the organism in Eukaryota, Metazoa, Chordata, Aves, Galliformes, Phasianidae.